This 609-nucleotide ribosomal RNA is filed under the name uncultured bacterium. RNAcentral's name for it is "bacterial SSU rRNA". It matches the Rfam family "Bacterial small subunit ribosomal RNA", at positions 125 to 731 of the family's 1533-position model. The record is from RNAcentral.
UCUGCCUGGUAGUGGGGGAUUACGUCCGGAAACGGGCGCUAAUACCGCGUACGUCCUACGGGAGAAAGCAGGGGAUCUUCGGACCUUGCGCUACCAGAUGAGCCCAGGCCGGAUUAGCUUGUUGGUGAGGUAAUGGCACCAAGGCGACGAUCCGUAACUGGUCUGAGAGGAUGAUCAGUCACACUGGAACUGAGACACGGUCCAGACUCCUACGGGAGGCAGCAGUGGGGAAUAUUGGACAAUGGGGGCAACCCUGAUCCAGCCAUGCCGCGUGUGUGAAGAAGGUCUUCGGAUUGUAAAGCACUUUAAGUUGGGAGGAAGGGCUUGCGGUUAAUACCUGCAAGUUUUGACGUUACCGACAGAAUAAGCACCGGCUAACUCUGUGCCAGCAGCCGCGGUAAUACAGAGGGUGCAAGCGUUAAUCGGAAUUACUGGGCGUAAAGCGCGCGUAGGUGGUUCAGUAAGAUGGAAGUGAAAUCCCCGGGCUCAACCUGGGAACUGCUUUCAUAACUGCUGGGCUAGAGUACGGUAGAGGGUAGUGGAAUUUCCUGUGUAGCGGUGAAAUGCGUAGAUAUAGGAAGGAACACCAGUGGCGAAGGCGACUACCUG